GCACCCCACUGUGCUCUCAAUAAAUGUGUUUCCUGUCUUAACAAAAACUGAUGGAUGUGCUACUAAUAUAAGGAGGGGCGAGUGUUGGGCAUCCUGUCUCGCUGGGUAGUGUGAUGGGUGGGAGGGCGGGGGCCGACUUGAACCCCACACACCUGCCAGCACCCUACCCUGCCCACUGGGCUCUCAAAGGGGAGGGUGGCUCUUGGAGGUCCGGAGGUUGACACGUGCUUGGAUGAACUAACAUCUCUCUGGUCCCCUCCUUCUACUGAUCGUGGGAUGCCAGGCUUCUUUCCAGAAGGGACUGUACAGGAGGAGGUGGUGGUGGAGAGGGGUUCUGAGUUGAGCUCACUGCGUGAGUUCCUGGAGCCCCAGAGAGGAAGCUCCCCUGGGGCUCUGAGUCUUCCUCCUCCUCUUCUCACAUUCCCCAGGGCUGGGCUGAGUGGUCAUCAUGCUUGAACUGAUGUUGAGCGAUGGCCAAGAUGGCCCAGCCAGGCUGUGGCUAAACUCAUUCCUCAAAAUGGCUCCUGAGCAAGGCUCUGUGUGUAGGCUCCUGAGCAGGGCUGCAAAGGUGGAGCCUCAGACCCAUCCCUGCCCGCGGCAGCAAUGCCGGCUGAGCUGGGGAGGUGAGCCUUGCACCCCUCAGAGUGGCUUUCUGUGAGCAGCUUGUGGCUGGGCUGAGCGGGGGCACUGAGGGGCAAGGGGCCAAAGGGCACUAGACCCAAGUCAAGACGGAUCCUGAGUCUGCACACCUGGCUUUGCUGCAGCGGAUCAUAAGGACAUGCUCCCUAUGGGGAAGGAGAGACCGACUGCUUUUGCUGCCACAGCCACCACGGCCAUCACAGCUACCACGGCCGCCACUGCCACUGCCACUACCACCACCAUCACAACCAUGGCCGCCACUGCCACUGCCACCUCCUCCCUCUUCUCCUUGCUCUCCUCCUCCUCCUCUUCUUCCUCCUCUUCCUCCCUCUUUUCCUUCCGUCUCCUCCUCCCUCCUCUUCCUCCUCCUCUUCCUCCUCCUCUUCCUCCCACCUUCUCUUCUUCCUCUUCCUCCUCCUCCUUCUUCCUCCUCUUCCUUCCUCUUCUUCUUUCUCCUUCCUCCUUCUCCCUCCCCCUCUUUCUCCCUCUUCGCCUUCCUUUCCUGCCUUCUUCUCCUCUUCCUUUUCCUCCUUCCUUUUUCCUUUCCUUCUCCCUCCUCCUCCUCUUUCUCCCUCUUCUUCCUUUUUGUCCUCCUCCUUCCUUCCUUUCAUUUGUUUCUCCCUCCUCCCCCUCCCCCUCUCUCUUUUUCUUCUCCUUCUUUCUCCUCCUCCUCCUGCUUCUCCUCCUCCUCUCCCUCACAGGGAGGUACCUCAAGAGAACUGCAGGCAAGUCCAGCCGUAAGUGCACAGGACUGAGCAUGGCCCCUUUGCUGAGAGAAACAACCGCCUUGGGGAUCAUGGCCAUGACCUGGCAAAGGAGACCUGACCCCAGCCCCUGAUGGAGAUGGUGACAUGGAUGGCGCUGAGUCAGCAGUGAGAAGAGGAGGAGAUGGCCUUCAGAGUGCACCCCACCUAGAUGAGUCAGUCUGUGCUCAGCCAAGACCAGGCUGAGAGUCCAGGAGAGUCCUGUGUGGUGAGCAGAGUAUCAGCCUUUGAUGAAGCUCAGGUGUCCAGAGCAAGCCACCCACUGAUGUUCCAGAGCCAAGACCCCAGCUCCAGCCUCUGUUGAACCUUGGGCAUUCAGAAUGAGCCACCCAACUUUUGACGUCCCAGAGCUAAGACUCAGUUCCAGCCUCCAAUGAAACCCAGAUGUUCAGAAAGAGGGACCUCCUUGAUGUUCUAGAGCCAGGACUCCAGAUCUAGCAUCAGGUGAUGCUCAGAGGUCUAGAAAGAGGAACCUGCUUAAUGUUCUAGAGCCAAGACUCCAGAUCCAGCAUCUGAUGCUCAGAUAUUCAGAAACAGGGACCUCCUUGAUAUUCUAGAGCCGGGACUCCAGAUCCAGUGUCUGAUGCUCAGAUAUCCAGAAAGAGGGACCUCCUUGAUUUUCUAGAGCCAGGACUCCAGAUCCAGCAUCCGAUGAUGCUGAGAUGUCCAGAAAGAGAGACCUUGAUGUUCUAGAGCCAGGAUUCCAGAUCCAGUGUCUGAAGAAGCUCAGAGGUCCAGAAAGAGGGACCUCCUUGAUGUUCUAGAGCCAGGACUCCAGUUCCAGCCUCCAGUGAAGCUCAGAUGUCCAGAAAGAGGGACUACCUUGAUGUUUUAGAGCCAGGACUCCAGCUCCAGCCUCCGAUAAAGCUCGGAUGUUCAGAAUGAAGGACGUCCUUGAUGUUCUAGAGCCAAGACCCAGCUGUAGCACUUAACAAAGCUCAAGUGUCCAGAAAGAAGUGCCUCUUUGAUGUUCCAAAGCCAAGAUAACACCUCUAUCAUUUGAUAAAGAUCAAGUGUACAGGAAGAGGGACCUCCUUGAUGUCCCUCUUCAGCCAGGACUUCAGCUCUAGCUUUCGAAGAAGCGCAGAUGUCCAGAAAGAGGGACCUCUUUGAUGUUCUAGGGCUGGGACCCAGUUCCAACAUCUGACAAAGCCCAGAUUUCCAGAAAGAGGGGUCUCCUUGAUGUUCCAGAGCUGAGGGACCUCCGUGAUGUUCCAAAGCUAGGACUUUAGCUUUAGUUUUUGAUGAAGCUCAGAUGUGCAGAAAGAGGGACUUCCUUGAUGUUCUAGGGCUGGGACUCAGCUCCAACCUCUGACAAAGCUCAGAUGUCCAAAAAGAAGAGUUUCCUUGAUGUUCUCGAACCCGGACUCUAGCCCUAGCCUCUAAUGAAGCUCAGAUGUCCAGAAAGAAGGACUUUCUUGAAAUUCUAGAGCCAGAACUCCAGCUCCAGCCUCUGAUGAAGCUCAGAUAUUCAGAAAGGGGGACUUCCUUUAUGUUCCAGAGCCAAGACCCAGCUCCAACCUCUGACAAAGCCCAGAUGUCCAGAAAGAGGGACCCCCUUGAUGUUCUAGAGCUGGAACCCAGAUCUAGCCUCUGAGGAAACCCAGGUGUCCAGAACUGGUGAGAAAACCUCAAGCCUCUGGGCUUUCCUGGGCAGGGAUAGGUGUGGCCAAGUUUGUCUUGAGACUGGAGAGGGCAGACAACACUCUUCUGUGCAAUGGUGGCCUGCAACAUUUCUCAAUAGUGACACUGGCAUAAAGAGGGGUCCCAGUUGCAGGAGAGAUGUGGAGAGGGGACUCCUUGUGGGAGGAAGCGUAUUAGGAAGAACAUGGCAGCAGAAAUCAUGGAUUGCAGAUGGGAUGCCUUCGAUGAAGCUUGCCUGAGGGCGUGUAACACCGCAGCAAAGCGCUGUUUUAUGCCUUUUAGUUUUGCUGGACUCAUGGCUGGCCACACAUCAGCCUUGACCCACAGGGCUGCCAAAUUGGCUGGACCCCGGAAUGUAACCCAAGCUAGUUUCUGCGGCUUAGCUCCUCUCCCAGUGGAAGGUGCUAAACCCCCACUUGCCAGCCCAGUGUAAAGCUGCAACCUUGGGGCGAGUCAGAUCUGGUUGCCUCCUUCUAGCAAUGGAAGUUCAUCUAGGUUAGGACUGGGGCAGGGCCAGGCUAUCGCAAUGGGUGUGAAGACAGCAUGAACGGCAAAGGAGGCCCCCAAAUACGUGGGGAUAUGGAUGCUAAUGUCUCAGGUGAAGCUGCAUUUGGGGCUGCAGCCCUGCCCUGAGCACCUUGACUCUACCACUUGCCCUCCAGGAGCUCCAUUGACACCAGACUGUCCAUUAAGCUGGAGAGAGAUGGCAAGUAAAGAAAUAGGCCAGGAAUACUGACUUGCUCAGAAGCCAUAAGAGCAUUACAGGUAGAUAGAAUCCAAGGGACGAAAAAUGUAGACUUGGGGAGGAGAGAGCGCUGAAUGCUAUUUGGGAUGUUUGAGCUCUGCAAUAUCCAGAAUGGGAGAGAAUCUUAUCUCACCAGUUUUGCCAUUCAGACACAGCUAUGAGAAUGGAUCCUAGAGGACGACUUACUUCAUUCAGCUGGAGUCUGGAGGAAAAGGGAGCAGCUAACAAGCAUUCUUGAAAAACACGCCCUAAUGAUGCCACAUCAUUCUGGUGAUAUUUCCUAGAAACUCAUUAGAACUUGGAACUGUGCAAACAAGAACUUCUUUGAUGAGUAACUGGAACUCGAGAGUUGGGAUUGCAUGAAGGAGAAAUGUCAUCUUAGAGGACUGCCUCCCCGCUCCCCACCCUCAUUUGGCCAAGUUAUUUUAGGAAAUUUCCAAGAACAAGCAAUUAGAAUCACUCAUUGCUGAUUUCCUAGAAGUCUCCACAACAGAUUCUGAAGCCAAAUGCAAAAUGGGUGAGCCCAGCUUGUGAGGCCUGUGAAGAAAAUGUGAAUCCUACUCUAUAAAGUCGUUGGCCUCAGGGAGCAAGACUCAGAAGUAGAGCUGCGUUAGGGAAAAUGAGGACAGAACAGAAGGUCUAGAUGGCCAGGCAGAGCCCCGUGGCAAAGACGAGCCUUGAGAUGACUGUGGGCCCUCCCCUGCCGGCAGCCACAGCCUGUCUCAGACUCACUCCUCAGAGCCUGUUUCUCCAUCACUCCCUUUGUCCUUCUGCCCAUCAGAGGGAUGUUCUCCAGGCUUCUGUGUUGCUAUCUGGCUUCCGUGGGCCAUGGCUUGAGCCAGGCUGUGGGCUCUGGGUGACUGUCCCUGAGGUAUGGUGAGCUUCCUGAGUGGUGGCCACUUGGCAAAGUGAGUCCAUCGCAGGGAAGUGGGCAAUUACCGGGGAGAGGAAAAUCAUGGCUUUCUUGCUUCCCAAGAGGGGCUGAACUGGGCUCCCAAUUUCCCUGACACUCCCAGCUCAGCUUGUAGAGGAAUCAGGGAAUGGAGAUGCCUUGGGCUGCAAUUUUCUUUGAGAUGACUGUAAUUUUCCCCUCUUAUCCUCACCGGUAGCUGCUGUGGGACAGAGGCAGGCGGGGCUCUGAAAGCUUUUCCUCAAGCUCCCCUUCAGUGCAGAGCUGUUUUCACGUGCCCACCAGCCAGCAGGAGGUUAUGCUUCUGAUUGUGACCCCCUACUUCUCAGAAGACACUUCGGACUCCGCCCCCGCCUCCAUACCCAACAAUGCCGUGCGGCAUUUCGUGUGACUGGAAUGGAAAUCCAACCUGGCCCUCGAGGGCAGUGAAGCCAGUCCGAAUCGCAGCAGAUGAUGCCCUCUGCAGAGGCCGGGCUCAUGAACGGCCUGGGUGGGUGGAGGUGGGUUGACAGGAUGGGGUGGGCAGGGCAGGGGAGUGCAGGACAGUGACCAGCUGGUCCAGAGAGUCCUGCCAAAUUCAAUCCAGAUAUUACUGGAUUAAUCAGCAAAGGAGGGGGAGCCCCGCCCCCACCCCAUGGAGACACUGAUGAGCACCAUGGGAUAGCUGUGGCUUCCCAGGCAGCCCACGGACCUACAGCUGCCUAUCAGCAGCCAGGGCCUUCUGGGCAGAGCGCCUCGGACCCCCAAUUGCCCUGGGAGGGUGGGUUUUUGGUGUCAGCUUAGUUCAGCUCAGCUGGCUUUUAUAGAGCAUGCACUGGCUGGCUCACUGGGGUGAUGCUGUCAGCGGGUAGAGGCUCUCCCAGGGAUUCUCGAGUGUCUACAGGGGGACUGGGAUUCCCUUCCUGGGACCAGGAGGCGGGGCUCUUCCUGAGAUGCUAUGGCUGGAGGCCCUCCUCCCCCAGAAUCACAGGGCCAUAUGCUAGGAGGAAAGACCCUGUAAACUCCAGACCUGACCUCCUGGGACCUGGGGUUAGUCACCCAGGUGGGGAUCUGCCUCUCUUGCCCUUCAUUUAGAAUUGGCUGUGAGCCUCUAAGGGCCAGCCCUUAGCCAAAAGCCUCCAUGCAGCCCGGUGCUCCUGCAGAAGUGCUGCCUCCGGAGGGUUUCUGCAACUUGGGACUCCUGGCAGUGGGGCUAGUGUCCUCCAUUCACCCCUGCUCCUGCACAGUCCCCAGCCCUAGGUGUGCACCCUCUAGUGUGGGGCGAAUGGGCUCCUAUGCCCAUUAGCUCUGGGUUAGGCUCAGAUGUAUGUGCCGGGCUCCUGUUAUGGGAGGGCUCAGAGCACAGGGGCCCCUGGCCUGGGAGCGGGUAGCUGUGUGCAUGUGUGUGGGUGUGUGUGCCUCCAUGAGCCUGUGUGUGCCUUCGUGAGCCUAUGAGUGUGUGAGCAUGCCCGGUGUGCACGUGUGUGGGUGCGUGUGCCUGCCAGUGCAUGCGUAUGCAGCUCUAUGCUUGUGUGUAUGUGCAUGCGUGGGAGACAGAUGGUGGAGAGCGACUGGGAGUGGGCGACAGUGGAUCUGUCCCUGAGCCUACAGCACCCUGGGUGCCGAUGCCACAUCCACAUCCUGCCCCCAGACCUGCUUCCCGGAGUCACCCAUGCCUAUAUCCCCUGUGGCUUUGCCCAUCAGUCCGUCUUUGUGUCCAGGUCUGCCUCAGUGGACAGAAGAGUGAGAGUCUUGGCCCUUGAACCCCUCCUCUUCUCCAUCCUUCUCCACCUCCCCCCCUGCCUCUUCUUGGCAAAGCAGCUGGAGUGAGACCUGGGCUGAGGCCAAGGUUGGGGGUACUGUGCUCCCAUGAGCUGCAGACACCGUCCUCUCACCGGCUCUCCCUCCUGUGUCCUGGAGUGGAACCCACCCCCGUUGCCCACCCCUUAACCCCUGCCCCCUUGUCUGGGGUUCUGGCCAUCCCCCCCACCCCCACCCCCUAGUCUCCAGCUUCCAAGGCAGCUCCCAAGACAAUGGGUUGAGCAAGGGGCAGGCUGGGUCCUGUGCCUAGCCCCUCAGCUCCCCCAGCCACUGCAUGGGGCUUCUGCUGCUCUGUGGCACUGGCUGGGGAACCUCAGGACCAGAUGGGGCCUCCCAGGCCUCGGCUACUGCAUCACGCUCUGGACAGGGCCUUGGGCCCGGACGACGCCUGUGCCCGCCAUGCCCUCUGGCCAGAUGCUGCACCCUCCACCCAGCCUCCAGGUGAGUUCUCGUCAUACCCACGGUGCCCCACCCUCCUUGGCAUCCAGGUGAUGCAUCUACCUGAGGUUCCGAAUCCAGGGGGGAAAUGUUUGCCUUUGCACUGCAUAUUUACACACUGAUUUGAAUUGAGGGGUUCCCAAAAUGACAUCAGGCUUUUUCUGAAAAAGUCUGUUUUGCCCGAUUGGUUUGCCAGUGAGGUUCAGAGUGGACAAAUCAAAAUGAGCUGAUUCCAGACCUCUGAGGUUUUGACAAGUGCUCCAUACCUAGCAUUUGUCACAUCUAUAUGCUAUAGUAUAUGCCAGAGGCCACCUCAUUGCAACUUUGUAAACUUCCUAUUAACUUUUACGGCCCAUUUAAAAAUGGGCUAUGGGAGGGGGAGAUCCGUGGCUUUCCAAAAUCCCUUCAUGGGGUCUGUAAGCAGAAAUGUCUGCUGCCCCCUGUUCCAGGGCACGUCCCACUCCUCACUGGCAGGGCUCUCGGGCUCACUGAUUAUUCUCUGAGGAUCACACAGGGUCGAUUUUCUGUGAAUGCAAGUGCGUGGGGUGGGUGGUGGGGCGUCGAGCUGAACGCUGGUCUGGACAGGAAAGGCUCCUGCUUCAUGUCCCACCUUGACCCUCAGAGGUUUCCAGGCCCAGCUCUUGGGCCCUGGCUUCCUCCUCUCCCUCUCGUCUUUGGGGGGGGUCCAUCUCAUGCAUGUCUGUUACCAUGGACUCCAUCAUCACGGCUCCCAUCACCUCCAUCUGGCCUCUGUCAUCCUGGGCACAGCAUCUCAUCUCUGGCCAUUCCAGCCUCCAUCACCCGCCUCACCUCCAUCAUCCUCGCUUCGGGGCUCAUUCUGGCCUCCAGGGCUUUGUACAUGGUAGGCUUUCAUUCAUUCGUUUGCACAUUCGGUGAAGGUCUACUGUGUGCCAGGCCCUGUGCCAGGCAUCGUGUAGAUGGACGUUGCCCUUGUGAGUGCACGCCUCGGGGAGACGCACGCCAGCCGGUGGAUGGCAGGAGAGCCUGGGCCAGGGCUGGGGGUGGGGGCGUGGGUGUGGGCAU
RNAcentral lists this long non-coding RNA (7984 nucleotides) under Homo sapiens (human). RNAcentral's name for it is "non-protein coding lnc-DLK1-35:104". The stretch from base 7779 to 7867 matches the Rfam family "mir-493 microRNA precursor family". The record is from RNAcentral. Lineage: Eukaryota; Metazoa; Chordata; Mammalia; Primates; Hominidae.